GAAAACUGCGGGGUGGGUGGUGGGGUUGGUUGUGGGGUGGAAGCUUGUAUCGGAAUUACUGUGCGUAAGGCGGGGGCAGGCAGUGAUGUAUGACAGAGGUUAAACGCCUGGGCUCAACCGGGGAAUUGCGUUGGUGACGGCAUAGGUCGAGUGCGGCAGAGGGGGAUGGAAUUCCGCGUGUAGCAGUGAAAUGCGUAGAGAGCGGGAGGAAGGCCGGUGGCGAAGGCGGCGCUCUGGAACAUACCUGACGCUGAUACACGAAAGCGUGGGGAGCAAACAGGAUUAGAUACCCUUGUAUUC
RNAcentral lists this ribosomal RNA (300 nucleotides) under uncultured Coraliomargarita sp. RNAcentral's name for it is "bacterial SSU rRNA". The stretch from base 52 to 300 matches the Rfam family "Bacterial small subunit ribosomal RNA", at positions 547 to 795 of the family's 1533-position model. The record is from RNAcentral. Lineage: Bacteria; Pseudomonadati; Verrucomicrobiota; Opitutia; Puniceicoccales; Coraliomargaritaceae.